AACGAACGCUGGCGGCAGGCCUAACACAUGCAAGUCGAACGCUGCAGCAUGCAGAGUGGCAGACGGGUGAGUAACGCGUGGGAACCUUCCCAGUGGUACGAAAUAGCCCAGGGAAACUUGGGGUAAUACCGUAUAAGCCCCUAGGGGGAAAGAUUUAUCGCCAUUGGAUGGGCCCGCGUCGGAUUAGCUAGUUGGUGAGGUAAUGGCUCACCAAGGCGACGAUCCGUAGCUGGUCUGAGAGGAUGAUCAGCCACACUGGGACUGAGACACGGCCCAGACUCCUACGGGAGGCAGCAGUGGGGAAUAUUGGACAAUGGGCGCAAGCCUGAUCCAGCCAUGCCGCGUGAGUGACGAAGGCCUUAGGGUUGUAAAGCUCUUUUGGCGGGGACGAUAAUGACGGUACCCGCAGAAUAAGCUCCGGCUAACUUCGUGCCAGCAGCCGCCGCCG
RNAcentral lists this ribosomal RNA (448 nucleotides) under uncultured bacterium. Its description in RNAcentral is "partial 16S ribosomal RNA". It matches the Rfam family "Bacterial small subunit ribosomal RNA", at positions 29 to 523 of the family's 1533-position model. The record is from RNAcentral.